UAAUGAGAGCGGCGUACGGGUGCGUAACACGUGUGCAACCUGCCUUUAUCUGGGGGAUAGCCUUUCGAAAGGAAGAUUAAUACCCCAUAAUAUAUUGAUUGGCAUCAAUUAAUAUUGAAAGCUCCGGCGGAUAGAGAUGGGCACGCGUAAGAUUAGCUAGUUGGUGAGGUAACGGCUCACCAAGGCUGCGAUCUUUAGGGGGCCUGAGAGGGUGAUCCCCCACACUGGUACUGAGACACGGACCAGACUCCUACGGGAGGCAGCAGUGAGGAAUAUUGGACAAUGGGUGAAAGCCUGAUCCAGCCAUCCCGCGUGAAGGACUAAGGACCUAUGGUUUGUAAACUUCUUUUAUACAGGGAUAAACCUACUCUCGUGAGGGUAGCUGAAGGUACUGUAUGAAUAAGCACCGGCUAACUCCGUGCCAGCAGCCGCGGUAAUACGGAGGGUGCAAGCGUUAUCCGGAUUUAUUGGGUUUAAAGGGUCCGUAGGCGGGUCGAUAAGUCAGUGGUGAAAGCCUGCAGCUUAACUGUAGAACUGCCGUUGAUACUGUCGGUCUUGAGUGUAUUUGAGGUAGCUGGAAUGAGUAGUGUAGCGGUGAAAUGCAUAGAUAUUACUCAGAACACCAAUUGCGAAGGCAGGUUACCAAGUUACAACUGACGCCGAUGGA
Molecule: ribosomal RNA, 667 nt
Filed under: uncultured bacterium
Lineage: Bacteria
Description: bacterial SSU rRNA
Rfam family: Bacterial small subunit ribosomal RNA
Source: RNAcentral